Molecule: transfer RNA, 88 nt
Filed under: Candidatus Nealsonbacteria bacterium RBG_13_37_56
Lineage: Bacteria; Candidatus Nealsoniibacteriota
Also listed under: 1 other name
Description: tRNA-Ser
Rfam family: tRNA
About the family: Transfer RNA (tRNA) molecules are approximately 80 nucleotides in length. Their secondary structure includes four short double-helical elements and three loops (D, anti-codon, and T loops).
Source: RNAcentral
GGAGGAGUCGCAUAGCGGCUAUUGCACCAGUUUUGAAAACUGGAACCCCUCACGGGGUUCGUGGGUUCGAGUCCCACCUCCUCCGCCA